GACGAACGCUGGCGGCGUGCUUAACACAUGCAAGUCGAGCGGUAAGGCCCUUUCGGGGGUACACGAGCGGCGAACGGGUGAGUAACACGUGGGUGACCUGCCCUUAGCUCUGGGAUAAGCCUGGGAAACUGGGUCUAAUACCGGAUAUGACUCCAUGACGCAUGUUGUGGGGUGGAAAGCCUUGUGCGGCUAGGGAUGGGCCCGCGGCCUAUCAGCUUGUUGGUGGGGUNAUGGCCUACCAAGGCGACGGACGGGUAGCCGGCCUGAGAGGGCGACCGGCCACACUGGGACUGAGACACGGCCCAGACUCCUACGGGAGGCAGCAGUGGGGAAUCUUGCGCAAUGGGCGAAAGCCUGACGCAGCGACGCCGCGUGGGGAUGAC
This 383-nucleotide ribosomal RNA is filed under the name uncultured bacterium. RNAcentral's name for it is "bacterial SSU rRNA". It matches the Rfam family "Bacterial small subunit ribosomal RNA", at positions 28 to 412 of the family's 1533-position model. The record is from RNAcentral.